CUCGUGUCGUGAGAUGUUGGGUUAAGUCCCGCAACGAGCGCAACCCUCGCCUUCAGUUGCCAGCAUUUAGUUGGGCACUCUGGAGGAACCGCCGGUGAUAAGCCGGAGGAAGGUGGGGAUGACGUCAAGUCCUCAUGGCCCUUACGGGAUGGGCUACACACGUGCUACAAUGGCGGUGACAAUGGGUUAAUCCCCAAAAACCGUCUCAGUUCGGAUUGGGGUCUGCAACUCGACCCCAUGAAGUUGGAAUCGCUAGUAAUCGCGUAACAGCAUGACGCGGUGAAUACGUUCCCGGGCCUU
RNAcentral lists this ribosomal RNA (300 nucleotides) under uncultured bacterium. Its description in RNAcentral is "bacterial SSU rRNA". It matches the Rfam family "Bacterial small subunit ribosomal RNA", at positions 1059 to 1382 of the family's 1533-position model. The record is from RNAcentral.